AUUGAACGCUGGCGGCAGGCUUAACACAUGCAAGUCGAGCGGGGUGAUGGUGCUUGCACUAUCACUUAGCGGCGGACGGGUGAGUAAUGCUUAGGAAUCUGCCUAUUAGUGGGGGACAACAUCUCGAAAGGGAUGCUAAUACCGCAUACGUCCUACGGGAGAAAGCAGGGGAUCACUUGUGACCUUGCGCUAAUAGAUGAGCCUAAGUCGGAUUAGCUAGUUGGUGGGGUAAAGGCCUACCAAGGCGACGAUCUGUAGCGGGUCUGAGAGGAUGAUCCGCCACACUGGGACUGAGACACGGCCCAGACUCCUACGGGAGGCAGCAGUGGGGAAUAUUGGACAAUGGGGGGAACCCUGAUCCAGCCAUGCCGCGUGUGUGAAGAAGGCCUUAUGGUUGUAAAGCACUUUAAGCGAGGAGGAAGCUCUUUUGGUUAAUACCCAAGAUGAGUGGACGUUACUCGCAGAAUAAGCACCGUCUAACUCUGUGCCAGCCGCCGCCGUAA
Molecule: ribosomal RNA, 503 nt
Filed under: uncultured bacterium
Lineage: Bacteria
Description: partial 16S ribosomal RNA
Rfam family: Bacterial small subunit ribosomal RNA
Source: RNAcentral